RNAcentral lists this ribosomal RNA (1472 nucleotides) under Nocardia sp. 49406. RNAcentral describes it as "bacterial SSU rRNA". It matches the Rfam family "Bacterial small subunit ribosomal RNA". Lineage: Bacteria; Bacillati; Actinomycetota; Actinomycetes; Mycobacteriales; Nocardiaceae. The record is from RNAcentral.
ACNGNCGGUNCUCUUANACAUUGCAAGGUCGAGCGGUAAGGCCCUUCGGGGUCACGAGCGGCGAACGGGUUGAGUCACACGUUGGGUUGAUCUUGCCUCGCACUUCGGGAUCAGCCUGGGAAACUGGGUCUAAUACCGGAUAUGACCUGCUGUCGCAUGGCGGUGGGUGGAAAGAUUUAUCGGUGCGAGAUGGGCCCGCGGCCUAUCAGCUUGUUGGUGGGGUAAUGGCCUACCAAGGCGACGACGGGUAGCCGGCCUGAGAGGGCGACCGGCCACACUGGGACUGAGACACGGCCCAGACUCCUACGGGAGGCAGCAGUGGGGAAUAUUGCACAAUGGGCGAAAGCCUGAUGCAGCGACGCCGCGUGAGGGAUGACGGCCUUCGGGUUGUAAACCUCUUUCGACAGGGACGAAGCGUAAGUGACGGUACCUGUAGAAGAAGCACCGGCCAACUACGUGCCAGCAGCCGCGGUAAUACGUAGGGUGCGAGCGUUGUCCGGAAUUACUGGGCGUAAAGAGCUUGUAGGCGGUUUGUCGCGUCGUCCGUGAAAACUUGGGGCUCAACCCCAAGCUUGCGGGCGAUACGGGCAGACUUGAGUACUGCAGGGGAGACUGGAAUUCCUGGUGUAGCGGUGAAAUGCGCAGAUAUCAGGAGGAACACCGGUGGCGAAGGCGGGUCUCUGGGCAGUAACUGACGCUGAGAAGCGAAAGCGUGGGUAGCGAACAGGAUUAGAUACCCUGGUAGUCCACGCCGUAAACGGUGGGUACUAGGUGUGGGUUUCCUUCCACGGGAUCCGUGCCGUAGCUAACGCAUUAAGUACCCCGCCUGGGGAGUACGGCCGCAAGGCUAAAACUCAAAGGAAUUGACGGGGGCCCGCACAAGCGGCGGAGCAUGUGGAUUAAUUCGAUGCAACGCGAAGAACCUUACCUGGGUUUGACAUACACCGGAAACCUGCAGAGAUGUAGGCCCCCUUGUGGUCGGUGUACAGGUGGUGCAUGGCUGUCGUCAGCUCGUGUCGUGAGAUGUUGGGUUAAGUCCCGCAACGAGCGCAACCCUUAUCUUAUGUUGCCAGCGCGUAAUGGCGGGGACUCGUGAGAGACUGCCGGGGUCAACUCGGAGGAAGGUGGGGACGACGUCAAGUCAUCAUGCCCCUUAUGUCCAGGGCUUCACACAUGCUACAAUGGCCGGUACAGAGGGCUGCGAUACCGUGAGGUGGAGCGAAUCCCUUAAAGCCGGUCUCAGUUCGGAUCGGGGUCUGCAACUCGACCCCGUGAAGUUGGAGUCGCUAGUAAUCGCAGAUCAGCAACGCUGCGGUGAAUACGUUCCCGGGCCUUGUACACACCGCCCGUCACGUCAUGAAAGUCGGUAACACCCGAAGCCGGUGGCCUAACCACCUUGUGGGAGGGAGCCGUUCGAAGGUGGGAUCGGCGAUUGGGACGAAGUCGUUACCUUGUAGCCUUGNCCGGCUCNG